Molecule: ribosomal RNA, 165 nt
Filed under: uncultured bacterium
Lineage: Bacteria
Description: partial 16S ribosomal RNA
Rfam family: Bacterial small subunit ribosomal RNA
Source: RNAcentral
UAGGGAAUCUUCCACAAUGGACGCAAGUCUGAUGGAGCAACGCCGCGUGAGUGAAGAAGGGUUUCGGCUCGUAAAGCUCUGUUGUUAAAGAAGAACGUGGGUAAGAGUAACUGUUUACCCAGUGACGGUAUUUAACCAGAAAGCCACGGCUAACUACGUGCCAAG